CUACUAGAUCUCAAUCUGAUGCCUCUUCGAAAGGCAUCCAUCAGGCGAUCCACGGCCUCUGCGGCCAGAUCUCAGGCUCCGACCUUGCCUCCAGUUUUCUAGGCUCCUCCUCCCCCAACAACGAUGGUCGGUAUGGAGCAGUUCGACUUGCUGGUUCAGUGGGUCAGAGGCCUCAUCGAAGCAGUGCAGGCCAUGUAGUAGCAGCAACAGCCACAGGCGUCAGUGC
Molecule: long non-coding RNA, 226 nt
Filed under: Elaeis guineensis (African oil palm)
Lineage: Eukaryota; Viridiplantae; Streptophyta; Magnoliopsida; Arecales; Arecaceae
Description: long non-coding RNA (EGUI_LNC064502)
Source: RNAcentral